RNAcentral lists this ribosomal RNA (253 nucleotides) under uncultured bacterium. Its description in RNAcentral is "partial 16S ribosomal RNA". It matches the Rfam family "Bacterial small subunit ribosomal RNA", at positions 524 to 776 of the family's 1533-position model. The record is from RNAcentral.
UACGUAGGCAGCGAGCGUUGUUCGGAAUUACUGGGCGUAAAGAGUGUGUAGGCGGUGCUCUAAGUUCGGUGUGAAAUCUCCUGGCUCAACUGGGAGGGUGCGCCGGAAACUGGAGUGCUUGAGCGUGGGAGAGGAAAGCGGAAUUCCUGGUGUAGCGGUGAAAUGCGUAGAUAUCAGGAGGAACACCGGCGGUGUAGACGGCUUUCUGGACCGUAGCUGACGCUGAGACACGAAAGCGUGGGUAGCAAACAGG